CACCACUCAAGCCUGGCUUGGUAUUGGGCGCCGCGGUCAAUCCGCGCGCCUCAAAGUCUCCGGCUGAGCUGUCCGUCUCUAAGCGUUGUGAUUUCAUUAAUCGCUUCGGAGUGCGGGCGGCCGCGGCCGUUAAAUCUUUCACAA
Molecule: unclassified non-coding RNA, 144 nt
Filed under: Apseudocercosporella trigonotidis
Lineage: Eukaryota; Fungi; Ascomycota; Dothideomycetes; Mycosphaerellales; Mycosphaerellaceae
Also listed under: 1 other name
Description: partial internal transcribed spacer 2
Source: RNAcentral